Cucumis sativus (cucumber) is the source of this 1077-nucleotide long non-coding RNA. RefSeq lists it as uncharacterized. Lineage: Eukaryota; Viridiplantae; Streptophyta; Magnoliopsida; Cucurbitales; Cucurbitaceae. The transcript has 2 exons. The record is from RefSeq and is a predicted model, not a curated record.
UCUUGAAACAAUAAUUGAUUGUAAGUUACAUUCCAAACCUAUGAUAGAGUUCACAAGCAAAAGGCAAAAGAAGAGAGGUACCUUUCUAAUCAUUGAGAUUUCCCCAUCCUCGGAGACUAUUGGAAGUUUCUGGGUUCAAGAAAGAAUAACGGUGAAGAAACAAUGCAAACAAGAAGACAGCUCCCAUAGAUUUAACAUUGUUUUUGGUUUUUCUUUUUCUUGCCAUAUGUUCAUAGUGUCAUGAUUUAAUCGUUUCUCUUCAGCAAAUAGAAAUGAUGAGUUAGUUCUAUCUAAAUUCAUCAAGAAGACAGAUGGAAACAUUAACAAGUUCCAGACGAAACAGAAAGCUAAGGAACUUUUUAAAGACACGGGUCUAGAAGUAAGAGAGGAAAUUAACCUGAGGCUGCCAUCCGUGUUCAUCUGCAUAACGGAAAGUAGCUUCAUUCACAGCUUGCCAUUCAAUAGCAAACCUCGUUGAACCACUAUUGACACCCAAAUGAAGCUGAAAGAACAUAAAUAACAAUAUAAAAUCAGUAAAUGGGAAAAUUUCCCUUUUUUCUGUGUGGCUUAUCUACUUCUCGUUACUUUUAGUCGAAUGCACAAGUAACCCAAUAUAGUGUAACAUCGUUACGUUAAAAUAAAAAACAUACCUCUUCAUUUAACUGAGAAAGUAUUAAGACUUUAUGUAAUAAAUACACUCAAUCUAAAUGUCCCGAUGAAUAUGUCCACACCAAACACUUUCAAUAAGCAAAAAUUUCAUUCUCCUCUUUCUACCUUCCCAUAUUGAUCUUCUUUGAACUUUGAAGUGCAAAUAGACCAAAAGAGGGUGUACUGUGGUAUUGAAUGAUUUGAAUCAUACAAUGUUUUAAUUGAGUUAUUGAGUUGAACAGGAUAGAGGAUUUCUUGAGGAGAGCGAUGUACUCAAGAACUCAAGCCUCGACAUGAUUGUUUAUGUAUUUGUUUCUCAAUGUUUCCUCCGUUAUUAGUAAAUCGCCCAACAUAUAGAAUAAAUAACUACAUCAGAUCUACUAGUGAGCAUUAAGAUUGUGUUCAAUAAAAAGAUUAUGUAAAACAAAA